This 662-nucleotide ribosomal RNA is filed under the name Neocallimastix frontalis. RNAcentral's name for it is "partial large subunit ribosomal RNA". It matches the Rfam family "Eukaryotic large subunit ribosomal RNA", at positions 118 to 629 of the family's 3401-position model. The record is from RNAcentral. Lineage: Eukaryota; Fungi; Neocallimastigomycota; Neocallimastigomycetes; Neocallimastigales; Neocallimastigaceae.
AAAUCUUCAAGGUUCUACCUUGACGAAUUGUAGUUUAAAGAAGUGUUUUCUGUUAGAUGAGUANCNAAAGUUCCUUGGAAUGGGACAUCAUAGAGGGUGAGAAUCCCGUAUUUGGUUAUUCAUUCUAGCUUUGUGAUACACUUUCAAAGAGUCGGAUUGUUUGGGAAUGCAGUCCAAAAUGGGNGGUAAAUUUCAUCUAAAGCUAAAUAUUGGCGAGAGACCGAUAGCGAACAAGUACCGUGAGGGAAAGAUGAAAAGAACUUUGAAAAGAGAGUUAAACAGUACGUGAAAUUGUCAAAAGGGAAGCGUUUGACACCAGUGUUGUUUUUCCGAAAAUCAAUUACGAAUGGCUUGAUUUUGUGUUGUAUUGACCUUAUCAGCUUUCUUCACUUUUUUCGAGUCUUUCUUAAUGCACUUUUCGGUUAACAAGUCAACAUCAAUUUCUUUUGUUGUAAAAGAGUAUUCGGAAGGUGGCUUUCUUUUCGGAGAAAGUGUUUAUAGCCCUAUACUUCUACAAUCGGAGAGAUUGAGGUCUGCAGCGUAGAUCCUUCGGGGUUAGAUACAUUUGUGCUAAGUUGUAGCUUUUCAUAGACAACUUGUUGACUAUGUUUAGUCNUGCGGCUUACUCGCUUNUGCUAUUUUACCUACGCUUAGGAUGUUGA